Molecule: long non-coding RNA, 506 nt
Organism: Pantherophis guttatus
Lineage: Eukaryota; Metazoa; Chordata; Lepidosauria; Squamata; Colubridae
Source: RefSeq, a predicted model, not a curated record
AGCCAUGGGAUUGUAUUUAUCAUUGCUCUGAGUUCAUUAAAUUUGCUUUCGGGAAGUAUAAGGAGAUUUUGAUAACUACAAUCAGCUUUGACUUUAUUUAAAUUCAAGGACUCCAGCAACACAUGGUCUAGCAAUAGACUUCAAUCCAGCUCCUUCAGUUCUGUACAUGAUUUGUCCUACAUUUCAAUGGUGAAAUUCAAAAAUUUGUACAGAGCCCAGUCCUUAUACCAGUGGUGAAAUUCAGCUGGCUCUAUCCGGAUUGUGCGAUCCGAUAGUAGCGGCAGUGGGAGGCUCCGCCCACCCAUCUGGAUGUCAUCAUGUUCCGUUUUUGACCCUGUGCGCAUGCCAAUUUGUGAAGCGGUUGCAAAGCUCAGCGUGUGGGCUUCAUCUCUGCACAAGGACAAGCACAGUGAGAUGCCUUAUUAGCACCACACAGAAAACAGCAACAAUUGUAAAUCAACUGAAUAGAUUAGACUAGAGAAUAAACUUCCUCUGAUUCAGGCACU